GGACUACUCGGGUUUCUAAUCCUGUUUGCUCCCCUUGCUUUCGGGCCUCAGCGUCAGGUCUAAGCUAGAAAACCGCCUUCGCCACCGGUGUUCUUCCACAUAUCUACGCAUUUCACCGCUACAUGUGGAAUUCCGUUUUCUCCGCCUAUCCUCUAGAAAUGCAGUCUCAAAUGCCGUUCCGGGGUUGAGCCCCGGGCUUUCACAUCUGACUUACAUCUCCGCCUACGCCCUCUUUACGCCCAAUAAAUCCGAUUAAUGCUUGCACCCUCCGUAUUACCGCGGCUGCUGGCAC
RNAcentral lists this ribosomal RNA (292 nucleotides) under uncultured bacterium. Its description in RNAcentral is "partial 16S ribosomal RNA". The record is from RNAcentral.